GUGCCAGCCGCUGCGGUAAUACGUAGGUGGCAAGCGUUGUCCGGAUUUAUUGGGCGUAAAGCGAGCGCAGGCGGUUCUUAAGUCUGAUGUGAAAGCCCCCGGCUCAACCGGGGAGGGUCAUUGGAAAACUGGGAGACUUGAGUGCAGAAGAGGAGAGUGGAAUUCCAUGUGUAGCGGUGAAAUGCGUAGAUAUAUGGAGGAACACCAGUGGCGAAGGCGGCUCUCUGGUCUGUAACUGACGCUGAGGCUCGAAAGCGUGGGGAGCAAACAGGAUUAGAUACCCUGGUAGUCCACGCCGUAAACGAUGAGUGCUAAGUGUUGGAGGUUUCCGCCUUCAGUGCUGCAGCAAACGCAUUAAGCACUCCGCCUGGGGAGUACGACCGCAAGGUUGAAACUCAAAGGAAUUGACGGGGCCCGCACAAGCGUGGAGCAUGUGGUUUAAUUCGAAGCAACGCGAAGAACCUUACCAGGUCUUGACAUCCUUUGACCACUCUAGAGAUAGAGCUUUCCCUUCGGGGACAAAGU
This 525-nucleotide ribosomal RNA is filed under the name uncultured Enterococcus sp. Its description in RNAcentral is "bacterial SSU rRNA". It matches the Rfam family "Bacterial small subunit ribosomal RNA", at positions 505 to 1032 of the family's 1533-position model. The record is from RNAcentral. Lineage: Bacteria; Bacillati; Bacillota; Bacilli; Lactobacillales; Enterococcaceae.